Molecule: ribosomal RNA, 468 nt
Filed under: uncultured bacterium
Lineage: Bacteria
Description: partial 16S ribosomal RNA
Rfam family: Bacterial small subunit ribosomal RNA
Source: RNAcentral
GACGAACGCUGGCGGCGUGCUUAACACAUGCAAGUCGAACGGAAAGGCCCUGCUUUUGUGGGGCGCUCGAGUGGCGAACGGGUGAGUAACACGUGAGUAACCUGCCCUUGACUUUGGGAUAAAUUCAGGAAACUGCGGCUAAUAUCGGAUAGGAGCUCCUGCUGCAUGGUGGUGGUUGGUAAGUUUCGGCGGUUGGGGAUGGACUCGCGGCUUACCAGCUUGUUGGUGGGGUAGUGGCUUACCAAGGCUUCGACGGGUAGCCUGCCUGGGAGGGUGGCCGGCGACAUUGGGCCUGAGAGACGGCCCAGACUCCUACGGGAGGCAACGGUGGAGAAUAUUGCACAAUGGGCGGAAGCCUGAUGCAGCAGCGCCGCGUGCGGGAUGACGGCCUUCGGGUUGUAAACCGCUUUCGCCUGUAACGAAGCGUGAGUGACGGUAAUGGGUAAAGAAGCACCGGCUAACUACGUG